GGGAAUUUUGGACAAUGGGCGCAAGCCUGAUCCAGCCAUGCCGCGUGCGGGAAGAAGGCCUUCGGGUUGUAAACCGCUUUUGUCAGGGAAGAAACGCUCUGGGUUAAUACCCUGGGGUAAUGACGGUACCUGAAGAAUAAGCACCGGCUAACUACGUGCCAGCAGCCGCGGUAAUACGUAGGGUGCAAGCGUUAAUCGGAAUUACUGGGCGUAAAGCGUGCGCAGGCGGUCUUGCAAGACAGAUGUGAAAUCCCCGGGCUCAACCUGGGAACUGCAUUUGUGACUGCAAGGCUGGAGUGCGGCAGAGGGGGAUGGAAUUCCACGUGUAGCAGUGAAAUGCGUAGAGAUGUGGAGGAACACCGAUGGCGAAGGCAGCCCCCUGGGCCAGUACUGACGCUCAUGCACGAAAGCGUGGGGAGCAAA
RNAcentral lists this ribosomal RNA (423 nucleotides) under uncultured bacterium. Its description in RNAcentral is "bacterial SSU rRNA". It matches the Rfam family "Bacterial small subunit ribosomal RNA", at positions 357 to 772 of the family's 1533-position model. The record is from RNAcentral.